GGCGGACGGGUGAGUAACGCGUAAGAACCUGCCCUUGGGAGGGGAACAACAGCUGGAAACGGCUGCUAAUACCCCAUAGGCUGAGGAGCAAAAGGAGGAAUCCGCCCAAGGAGGGGCUCGCGUCUGAUUAGUUAGUUGGUGAGGCAAUGGCUUACCAAGGCGACGAUCAGUAGCUGGUCCGAGAGGAUGAUCAGCCACACUGGGACUGAGACACGGCCCAGACUCCUACGGGAGGCAGCAGUGGGGAAUUUUCCGCAAUGGGCGAAAGCCUGACGGAGCAAUGCCGCGUGAAGGCAGAAGGCCCACGGGUCAUGAACUUCUUUUCUCGGAGAAGAAAAAAUGACGGUAUCUGAGGAAUAAGCAUCGGCUAACUCUGUGCCAGCAGCCGCGGUAAGACAGAGGAUGCAAGCGUUAUCCGGAAUGAUUGGGCGUAAAGCGUCUGUA
RNAcentral lists this ribosomal RNA (444 nucleotides) under uncultured organism. Its description in RNAcentral is "bacterial SSU rRNA". It matches the Rfam family "Bacterial small subunit ribosomal RNA", at positions 97 to 573 of the family's 1533-position model. The record is from RNAcentral.